AGGCAAUCUGACGUUUAAUCGCCUUUCUCUUUCCAGCAUACGCACGCUUAUGGAUUGUUUUCAUACGGAAACCCUUUCCGUAUGAAAACAACAAACAAAAAAUCCCAUUUGAUCUUGUUGCUGGAAAGAGAAGGGUGCGAUAGCCUUAUUGACUUAUCCACCGGUGUGAUAAAUUCACUCGGUUAAAGAAUUUUGACACUUUAGCGGGUCAAGCUUCUAGAUGCUUCCCACGUGUUUCGAUCAAGUGUCAAAAUUCUUGGACUGAGUGAAUUUAGUGCACCGAUGGAUAAGUCCAUAUCAAGCGACCCAAGUCAAACGUCAGAUAACUAGAUCCCUUUUUUAAAAGUGGGCUAGUUUUUGGUGAUCUUAGCGCUCGUAAAAGCUGGAUACUUCAUCCAAUAAGCUUAUCUGAUUGAAACCUGUACAUCUGGUGGCAUGCUUUGUUUUAAAGAACAGAAAUGGAACGUGUAUUAGAGUUACAUGAUUAUCAGGAGUACAGAAAUAUACUGACGAGGCUCCAACCAAACCGUCUCUCAGCUCAUCGGAAUCCUAGUGUGCUGCGCUAGCUUGAGACUCACAAAAAUUCUGAAAGCGGGUACCCUGGGAGACUCGUCCCAUUCGCUGCUCGGUGCUACGGCUCACCAUAAGCUGAGACGAGACUCGCGGAGACCAAGAUUGAUUGAAGGGAGGUUCAGUGAUCUAAGCAGUCAGUGGGUGCGAAGUGAGGUCAGCUACGGGGGAGGUGAAAGUGACAGCUGGCGAGUAUGUUUUCAUAAUGUUGUUUCUAUGGGAAUGUUAGGGAUUGUUUACCACAGAAAACAAAUCCUACCGAUGUAAAAUGCAAGUGUUUUAUUGAUUAAAGUGAGUGUUUGGACAAACACUAUUGUGCUACCGGCGGAGUGGCCUACCCUAUUGUAUACGUCAUCAUCAUAUCCACUUUAGUAUUAGACACAACGUAGGAUAAGUUAGAUGUACAUCUAUUGUGAUCGAUAUUUUAAUCAAUAAAAAUGUAGUUUCUGUGAA
This is a long non-coding RNA of Aedes aegypti (yellow fever mosquito), 1023 nucleotides long. RefSeq lists it as uncharacterized. Lineage: Eukaryota; Metazoa; Arthropoda; Insecta; Diptera; Culicidae. The transcript has 3 exons. The record is from RefSeq and is a predicted model, not a curated record.